GACGAACGCUGGCGGCGUGCUUAACACAUGCAGGUCGAACGGUAAGGCCCUUCGGGGUACACGAGUGGCGAACAGGUGAGUAACACGUGGGUGAUCUGCCCUGCACUUCGGGAUAAGCCUGGGAAACUGGGUCUAAUACCGGAUAGGACCACUGCCUGCAUGGGUGGUGGUGGAAAGCUUUUGCGGUGUGGGAUGGGCCCGCGGCCUAUCAGCUUGUUGGUGGGGUGAUGGCCUACCAAGGCGACGACGGGUAGCCGGCCUGAGAGGGUGACCGGCCACACUGGGACUGUGGUACGGCCCAGACUCCUACGGGAGGCAGCAGUGGGGAAUAUUGCACAAUGGGCGCAAGCCUGAUGCAGCGACGCCGCGUGAGGGAUGACGGCCUUCGGGUUGUAAACCUCUUUCAGCACCGACGAAGCGCAAGUGACGGUAGGUGCAGAAGAAGGACCGGCCAACUACGUGCCAGCCGCCGCGGUAA
Molecule: ribosomal RNA, 478 nt
Filed under: uncultured bacterium
Lineage: Bacteria
Description: partial 16S ribosomal RNA
Rfam family: Bacterial small subunit ribosomal RNA
Source: RNAcentral